This 253-nucleotide ribosomal RNA is filed under the name uncultured bacterium. RNAcentral's name for it is "partial 16S ribosomal RNA". It matches the Rfam family "Bacterial small subunit ribosomal RNA", at positions 524 to 776 of the family's 1533-position model. The record is from RNAcentral.
GACGUAGGGGGCUAGCGUUGUCCGGAAUUACUGGGCGUAAAGAGCUCGUAGGCGGCCUGUUAAGUCGGGUGUGAAAGCCCUCGGCUCAACCGAGGAACUGCACUCGAUACUGGCGGGCUAGAGUCUGGUAGAGGGAGGUGGAAUUCCCGGUGUAGCGGUGAAAUGCGCAGAUAUCGGGAGGAAAACCGGUGGCGAAGGCGGCCUCCUGGGCCACGACUGACGCUGAGGAGCGAAAGCUGGGGGAGCGAACAGG